This is a long non-coding RNA of Fukomys damarensis (Damara mole-rat), 647 nucleotides long. RefSeq lists it as uncharacterized. Lineage: Eukaryota; Metazoa; Chordata; Mammalia; Rodentia; Bathyergidae. The record is from RefSeq and is a predicted model, not a curated record. The transcript has 5 exons.
CCCACAGAGGACUCCCCAGUGUGAAUACUGAUACCAGUGCCAGCAUAUUCUGUGUGAACCUUUGCAACGGGCAAGAUUCACUGAGAGACCUUUAGGUGUUUGCUGUCAUACAGAAUGCUGAAAAGAAUGUGAGUGGAAAUACCUCUAUGAGAUCCUGAUUGCAGUUUUUAGGAUUUGAAUUGUAUAACUAUGCAUGUGCUCUUGUCAAAAAGGAAGACCAUGUCAGUGUGCAAAAUGGAAGGAAAGUCCAUUCUGUUACUGGACAACAGAUUGAUUUGUCCCCAGGAGGUGCCAGUCUGAACAGGCUGAUGUUGGGGAUCUCCUGACCUCCCAAGUGAGACCACAGCUAUCUACAAACCAAGAGAAUUGGCCUCUGAGUGGAACCUACCUGCUGGGUCCUUGACCUUAUACUUCUCCAACUUCAUAACCGAGAAAUAAAUGCUUGUUUUUUCAAGCAUCCAAUCUGGUAACUAAAUAUGGUGGUCCCAGAAGCCCAUAUUCAUAGUUUGCUGAUUAUUUACAUUGCUUCCUCCCUUUGAAAAAGCUGUUUCCCCUGAAACUACUCUGAUAAAAUGGUAUUCACCCUCUAAAAUGUAGCUGAAAUAUUAACUUCUUUGUGAAGUACUUUCUAAUACCAUUACCUCUUA